GAGCUGCCCCACUGGUUUGGAAAGCCCAUUCCCAGUCCCUCCCAGUCCCAACAAGUGGUUCCUCAUCCCAGAGCUCCUCUGGGGAGCCAUGGGGCUGUUCUUUGUAAGACAAAGGAAUAACUGACCCUGGGUGGUUUUGGGCACCUGUUCACACCUGUGGGAUCCACAGUGGGAUCCUGGAGAGCUUUCAUCCCCUAAUCAUGAGCCAUUCCCUGGGGUGCCACUCCCUCAGCAGCUGGAGGGAUGCAGGAGGUUUAAAAAAAAAAAUCAAAACAACACCUCCGGUUUUAAAUCAGCAAAAUCAGGUUGAGCCUUGAGGAGGAGAUCAUGUCUGGUGUGAGCUGUGCAAUAUUUUAUAUCAAAUCCUCUUUAAUUUCAUUUCAUUUCAUUUCAUUUCAUUUCGCUUUUCUUUUUAGCGGGUUGCGCUUCCUUGCAAAGACAAAGAUCAAUCUGGAGAACAAACAGGGUGAUUUUGUCAAAGUGAAAAAUGCUUGUCUCAGAUGGCUGUGUAAAAAUGAUCCUUCACAGAGAAAUCCAGAGAGUUUAAAAAAAAAAAAAAAAAAAAAAACCCCCCCCCCCCCCCCCCCCCCCCCCCCCCCCCCCCCCCCCCCCCCCCCCCCCCCCCCCCCCCCCCCCCCCCCCCCCCCCCCCCCCCCCCCCCCCCC
Molecule: long non-coding RNA, 665 nt
Filed under: Ficedula albicollis (Collared flycatcher)
Lineage: Eukaryota; Metazoa; Chordata; Aves; Passeriformes; Muscicapidae
Description: lncRNA (ENSFALG00000027657.1)
Source: RNAcentral